CGUGGGUAACCUGCCUUAUAGUGGGGGAUAGCCUUUCGAAAGGAAGAUUAAUACCGCAUAAGAUUGUAGUAUCGCAUGAUAUAGCAAUUAAAGGAGCAAUCCGCUAUAAGAUGGACCCGCGUCGCAUUAGCUAGUUGGUGAGGUAAUGGCUCACCAAGGCGACGAUGCGUAGCCGACCUGAGAGGGUGAUCGGCCACAUUGGGACUGAGACACGGUCCAGACUCCUACGGGAGGCAGCAUG
This 241-nucleotide ribosomal RNA is filed under the name uncultured bacterium. RNAcentral's name for it is "partial 16S ribosomal RNA". It matches the Rfam family "Bacterial small subunit ribosomal RNA", at positions 116 to 353 of the family's 1533-position model. The record is from RNAcentral.